CGGCGGACGGGUGAGUAACACGUGGGUAACCUACCUAUAAGACUGGGACAACUUCGGGAAACCCGAGCUAAUACCGGAUAAUAUGUUGAACCGCAUGGUUCAAUAGUGAAAGAUGGUUUUGCUAUCACUUAUAGAUGGACCCGCGCCGUAUUAGCUAGUUGGUGAGGUAAUGGCUCACCAAGGCAACGAUACGUAGCCGACCUGAGAGGGUGAUCGGCCACACUGGAACUGAGACACGGUCCAG
This 244-nucleotide ribosomal RNA is filed under the name uncultured Staphylococcus sp. RNAcentral's name for it is "partial 16S ribosomal RNA". It matches the Rfam family "Bacterial small subunit ribosomal RNA", at positions 96 to 334 of the family's 1533-position model. Lineage: Bacteria; Bacillati; Bacillota; Bacilli; Caryophanales; Staphylococcaceae. The record is from RNAcentral.